ACUGAUCAGAAACUUUGUCUCCGGUGUGAAUUACUUCUAGGAAAAGCGUGCACGCAUUAAUUAAUCAAUUUGGAAGGAGUAGAUAGACAAAUAAUCAAAGUUUUCUUUGGUAUCUAAAUCAGUUGGUGCCUGAACAGGAACGAGAGGGUUGUUGACAUUCUGCUCGAAGCCGUAAAAUCCCAGGACCGGAGAGGAGACCCCCAGGAGACCAGUGGACUUCGUUUAUUCUCCGUUCCUUCACUCGGCUUCCUGUGGUUAACGUCAGACAGGUAUAUAGUAUGCCCACAUGUCCCCUUUAUUUGAAUAGAACAUGUCAAUUUGUCUAUCUACGUCCUGUGUGUGAGUUUUAUGUGUGAAAGUGUCUGUUUGAGAAUCUGUUUUACUACUUGCUUAAUACUGUUAUAUAAUACUGCCAAGUGCGGUUCAGCGCUGGCAUAUUUAUCCAAGUUCGGGUU
Non-coding RNA from Pelobates cultripes (western spadefoot toad), 455 nucleotides. The record is from the annotation of a GenBank genome assembly. Lineage: Eukaryota; Metazoa; Chordata; Amphibia; Anura; Pelobatidae.